UACGGAGGGUGCUAGCGUUGUUCGGAAUCACUGGGCGUAAAGCGCGUGUAGGCGGUCUGCUAAGUCUGAUGUGAAAGCCCGGGGCUCACCCCCGGAAGUGCAUUGGAAACUGGCAGACUGGAGUCCCGGAGAGGAGGGUGGAAUUCCUGGUGUAGCGGUGAAAUGCGUAGAUAUCUGCAGGAACACCCGUGGCGAAAGCGGCGCGCUGGACCACUACUGACGCUGAGGAACGAAAGCUAGGGGAGCAAACAGG
Molecule: ribosomal RNA, 253 nt
Filed under: uncultured bacterium
Lineage: Bacteria
Description: partial 16S ribosomal RNA
Rfam family: Bacterial small subunit ribosomal RNA
Source: RNAcentral